This 825-nucleotide ribosomal RNA is filed under the name Triticum aestivum (bread wheat). RNAcentral describes it as "partial small subunit ribosomal RNA". Lineage: Eukaryota; Viridiplantae; Streptophyta; Magnoliopsida; Poales; Poaceae. The record is from RNAcentral.
AUGUUUCAUGAUAUAUAUACCUUGUGUGUUGCAUCCAAUUCUUGGUCUACUUGCUACUAUCAUAUGAUUGGUUGCACCAAUAUCAUUUCUUCACAUAUGCCAUGUCCCUUUGCUUGUCACAAGCUUGACUUGAUUGCCUCACACAUGAUGAACAAUUGCUCUUUCUAUUGUGUUGAGUGCCACACUAUAUUCACUACACCCUAUGCACAUUAUGCUUGGAUUGCCUUGCACUUGACCCAUGUGUUUAUACACUUCAUUUUAUUUGGUGUUGUGAAUACUUCUUAUGCCUACCAUAGACCUUUCAUUGAGUGCUUGAUGCUUGUUUGCUAUGACCUUGAGGUAGAUGCUUAUUCUCUUGUCACACAUACUUGCAUCUCUACCUCACAUUUGCAUCCUUGUCCCCAUGACAUCUUUGCUUGUGCUCAACUGAUAUGCUUACAUGCCAUGUCACAAUCCUUUGUCACACCCGAUGCUAUGCUUGAUGACAACACUUGUUUGGUGAAUCACCUCUUGAAUGCUUGGUUUUGCACUAAUGCUAACCACAUUUGUUUUUCCAAGUGUUUGUUGUUCUUGCUUCUUUUGAAGGAAUCACUAGACGGUGCGACAUUGGAGAGUGCCCAUUUCGAGUUUCAAGGUGAUGAGUGCUUGGUGACCGACCACUUUGACACGGCACCGCCAUCUCUUUCCCAUGGUGAUUUGGUUUUUGAUCCGAGGUCGGAUCUUUUCCAAAGGGGAGGGGAUGAUGCGGAGCAUCCUACGGUCAUCACCAUGUCAAGAGAGUCCGUUUGGCAAGUGACACAUGCGACCUCUACUUCUCAUACAUAA